Molecule: small nuclear RNA, 106 nt
Filed under: Propithecus coquereli (Coquerel's sifaka)
Lineage: Eukaryota; Metazoa; Chordata; Mammalia; Primates; Indriidae
Source: RNAcentral
AUGCUCGCUUCAGCAGCAUAUACACUAAAAUUGGAACGAAAACAGAAGAUUAGCACGGCCCCUGCGCAAAGAUGACACGCAAAUUCGUGGAGCGCUCCAUAUUUUU